CAGCAGCCGCGGGAAUACGUAGGUCCCGAGCGUUGUCCGGAUUUAUUGGGCGUAAAGCGAGCGCAGGCGGUUAGAUAAGUCUGAAGUUAAAGGCUGUGGCUUAACCAUAGUAUGCUUUGGAAACUGUUUAACUUGAGUGCAGAAGGGGAGAGUGGAAUUCCAUGUGUAGCGGUGAAAUGCGUAGAUAUAUGGAGGAACACCGGUGGCGAAAGCGGCUCUCUGGUCUGUAACUGACGCUGAGGCUCGAAAGCGUGGGGAGCAAACAGGAUUAGAUACCCCCGUAGUCCCUGUCUCUUAUACC
This 301-nucleotide ribosomal RNA is filed under the name uncultured bacterium. Its description in RNAcentral is "partial 16S ribosomal RNA". It matches the Rfam family "Bacterial small subunit ribosomal RNA", at positions 509 to 808 of the family's 1533-position model. The record is from RNAcentral.